RNAcentral lists this ribosomal RNA (461 nucleotides) under uncultured bacterium. RNAcentral describes it as "partial 16S ribosomal RNA". It matches the Rfam family "Bacterial small subunit ribosomal RNA", at positions 338 to 795 of the family's 1533-position model. The record is from RNAcentral.
CCUACGGGAGGCAGCAGUGAGGAAUAUUGGUCAAUGGGCUUACGCCUGAACCAGCCAAGUCGCGUGAGGGAAGACUGCCCUAUGGGUUGUAAACCUCUUUUGUCAGGGAGCAACGCCGGCUACGUGUAGCCGGACUGAGAGUACCUGAAGAAAAAGCAUCGGCUAACUCCGUGCCAGCAGCCGCGGUAAUACGGAGGAUGCGAGCGUUAUCCGGAUUUAUUGGGUUUAAAGGGAGCGUAGGUGGAUUGUUAAGUCAGUUGUGAAAGUUUGCGGCUCAACCGUAAAAUUGCAGUUGAAACUGGCAGUCUUGAGUACAGUAGAGGUGGGCGGAAUUCGUGGUGUAGCGGUGAAAUGCUUAGAUAUCACGAAGAACUCCGAUUGCGAAGGCAGCUCACUGGACUGCAACUGACACUGAGGCUCGAAAGCGUGGGUAUCGAACAGGAUUAGAUACCCGUGUAGUC